AUUAGUGGUUGACACAGGAGGACCCAGCCAUUGUGGGUGGAGCCUCCCCUGGACUGAUGGGCCUGGUUCUCUAACAAAGCACACUGAGCAGGCCACGGAGCGCAAACAGCCCUGAACACACUGUUGAUGACUAGGCCUGGGCCGGCCGGUGUCUGUCCUGUCCUGCAGCUCAGUCUGUCAGCUCCAUCAGAACCAGAAGCACAGACAAGUGCAAGUUAAAGAAUUUAAAACAGGUAACAGCAGAGAAACAUCUCAAACAUUGCAGACAGAAUCAGUAGAAGAAAAGCCAUUUACUGGAGGAUCUCCCUAUGGAGCCUGAACUGGCCCCAGUUUGGUCUCCGAGAUUCGUCCAGGCCCAGCUUGCUUUUGCAUUUUACUGAACUGAAACCUUAAGAACGCAGGCAAACAGAAUGUGAGGACAACAGGAAGUUGGCUGUAGAUACAGGAAGCCGCUGCAAAGGAGGCCUCCGAGAGAAACUGGUGUGGUGAACUCCUGGCAUGCGCAGGUGACAAGAGGUUCUGCAGGGGAGAAAAAGCCAGCUUGGUCGGCGCCUUUGGCUUGCACUGCUCAAGGAAACAAAAAUAGCCCAGGUGGCUGCGAGACUGUCACAAGCUUAUUAAACUUGGAUGACAGUAAACCAAUGACUAACUGGGUAAUUAAAACCACAAGCCUAGGAUCUCUGGGGCCUGCUCUCAUCUUCCCCUCAGCAGAAAAGCCUUUGUGGAUUUGAAACCCUCCAUGGCGGCCCCACCUCCUCUCAAGGUUGUUCUCCUGCUUGUCUGAGGCUUCAUCCCAAUCCCUCCUUGUUCUCUGUAGGAUGGAGGAAAUCUAACCUUUAGCUGAAGCUCAGCCCAUACUCCCUCCUGCCUGACACGUUUCCAACAGACUAGAGUUACUAAGCCCUUCCUGCCGGGAGGCACUUAGCUUUCUGUUCCAUGGAACUUUGGCUUCAAGGGCUCAGAGCCUCCCAGUUCCUCAGGAGAGUGAGCUGGGAACUUCAAAGUGACCCGCCACAGCUGAGAAGCCCAGAGUAGCUUCAAAGACUUUCCAGCCUGAAUCUUCUAAGGGUGGGGGGUGGGGUGUUUCUCCCUCACCUCUGAAACCACACAAACAAUGAAGUCUACAAUGACCUUCAAGGCA
Apodemus sylvaticus (European woodmouse) is the source of this 1141-nucleotide long non-coding RNA. RefSeq lists it as uncharacterized. The transcript has 5 exons. NCBI's taxonomy places the organism in Eukaryota, Metazoa, Chordata, Mammalia, Rodentia, Muridae. The record is from RefSeq and is a predicted model, not a curated record.